ACUCCUGCGGGAGGCAGCAGUGGGGAAUUUUGGACAAUGGGCGAAAGCCUGAUCCAGCAAUGCCGCGUGAGUGAAGAAGGCCUUCGGGUUGUAAAGCUCUUUUGUCAGGGAAGAAACGGUGAAAGCUAAUAUCUUUUGCUAAUGACGGUACCUGAAGAAUAAGCACCGGCUAACUACGUGCCAGCAGCCGCGGUAAUACGUAGGGUGCAAGCGUUAAUCGGAAUUACUGGGCGUAAAGCGUGCGCAGGCGGUUUUGUAAGUCUGAUGUGAAAUCCCCGGGCUCAACCUGGGAAUUGCAUUGGAGACUGCAAGGCUAGAAUCUGGCAGAGGGGGGUAGAAUUCCACGUGUAGCAGUGAAAUGCGUAGAUAUGUGGAGGAACACCGAUGGCGAAGGCAGCCCCCUGGGUCAAGAUUGACGCUCAUGCACGAAAGCGUGGGGAGCAAACAGGAUUAGAAACCCCGGUAGUCCCAUGA
RNAcentral lists this ribosomal RNA (474 nucleotides) under uncultured organism. Its description in RNAcentral is "partial 16S ribosomal RNA". It matches the Rfam family "Bacterial small subunit ribosomal RNA", at positions 335 to 800 of the family's 1533-position model. The record is from RNAcentral.